CUAGAACAUUAGAGGGAGGCAGGUUGCUAUAUAUAUUGUACAAAGAGCACUGGUUUGAGAGUUAGGAAGCCCUGAUACUAGUCCCAAACUUGGCCAUGACCAAACAACGGGGGCCACUCCCGAGUUUAUUGAGCAAGCACCUGUAAGAUGAGCUGAUUGAACAAGUAGGACUCUAAGACUCCCGCUAUUACUAAAAACGUCAGGAUCUGAACAGCAUUGGGCCUGUUAUAGCCAAGGAUUUUUCUUCUUUUUUCAAAAGAAUUUAAGAAGAGAGACAUUAGGGCUAGAGUUAGAUAUAAAUAGACUUGAGGGCUUACACCUACCAUCCCUGCUAUUGGGUUGGCUAAGGCUGCUGGAUUUCUUGAGAAUAGGUGUUCUAAAUUUCCACAGGGCUAAAGCCAAUCCAGUGUCUAAACCAAAUCUAGCCCCCUAGGACAGGGAAUCGCCUGCCUGCCUAAGGAGAUGGGACAGCCAGUCCAGGUCAGAAACAGAACAUAUUAAAGCUCACAUGGUGAUCUAUCCAUGAUGAGAUCAGUCAUUUCCAGAGUGGAUGAGAUAAGGAGAAAAAGAAUGAAAGAGAAGGGAGGAAGGAAGGCAGGAAGGAGGAAGGAGGAAGGGAGGAAGGAAGGAAGAAAGAAAGGGGGAAGGGAGGAAGGAAGGGAGGAAGGAAGGAAAGAAAGAAAGAGGGAGGGAAGGAAGGAAAGAAGGAAGAAAAUAAAAGGAAGGAAGGAAGGAAGGAAGGAAGGAAGGAAGGAAGGAAGGAAGGAAGGAAGGAAGGAAGGAAGGAAGGAAGGAAGGAAGGAAGGAAAAAAGGAAAGAAGGAAGGAAAGAAGGAAGGAAGGAAGGAAGGAAGGAAGGAAGGAAGAAAAGGAGGGAG
Molecule: long non-coding RNA, 877 nt
Filed under: Monodelphis domestica (gray short-tailed opossum)
Lineage: Eukaryota; Metazoa; Chordata; Mammalia; Didelphimorphia; Didelphidae
Description: lncRNA (ENSMODG00000044015.1)
Source: RNAcentral